CUUAUCAGUACAUCCCUCUGGCCCAGCCUGUUCCUGACUGUAGCAUAAGCAAUUGCCCAAGCACUUUUACAACAUCCCAGCACCCACAGAGGUGCAAAGCCCCUAUACCAAACUCUUUGCCUUCAGCUGCAGUGGCUGAAUGUUGAGCUAGGUAACUCAGGUGAUGCUUGUUGGGCAAUGAGGGCUAGAAGCUGAUAUGAAGCCUCAACAGGGAUUUCUGGGAGCAUGCUCUCCUCUGGGCUGUCUAGUCCCUAGCAUCAUCUUCCUUUGAUUCCUCUCCAGCCGUGGGAUGUGCUCCACUGGUUUGGUUGUGUAGUACGCCACUGAAUCACGUAUUGAUCCCACAGAAAAAAUCCUGUGAAAAAAAAACAGGCAAUUUCUGCAUAGCGCUUGAUACUCACCCCCCUAAAAACUGUACAGUGAGAGGGAAAGGAACAGAGGCUGAGAAUCAAAGGAGAGGGCUUACACAAUGAGCUGGGCCUUCAAUAAGGAUGCGCUGACACAGUAUUUACAUGGAGAAUUCCUGCCCGGUGUUUAAGGAAGAAAAAUCCGCAGAAGUUUAAAUUCACCCUUGGGCAAAGACUCUGCUCUUGGACUUGCCAGACGUCUGGCUCUCAUCCAGACAGCCUGACUUGCAAGCCAGGCUUUCAAGGAAGAAAGGAACCCUUGGGAAAGAGCAGAUUACAGCUGGUCCAAAAAGAGGGGAUUCUGCUCAGUGAAUGCCGUUCCAGUUCCUACACAGUACAGGCAAUUGUCACCUCCUUUCUCCCCUCUCCCCCCUGCCCCCGUGCCUUUCCUUAACUCAGCUGUGCUGUAGCACUUGAUCAAUUGCAACAGCACUAAAAAAAAAAAAAAAAAAAAAGUUAGUCAUACAUGAUCAGCAAAAUGGCCCAAAUGAUGUCAUCCAUCAAGAUGGACAUCGCAAUUUGCCAACUAUUUUCUCAUAAAUCAAAUCAUAGUCCCACAAGGAAGAAGAGCAGCUCAUGAAGAGCCAACAUGGCAGCAGUUAUCGGCAGACUGAGAGAAAUGCUCCCUCAAGUAUACAGUAAUUAUUUUUACUCGAUGGGAAAUAAAGAGGGGAGAGAUGGUAGUGUAGAACUGGAG
RNAcentral lists this long non-coding RNA (1104 nucleotides) under Coturnix japonica (Japanese quail). RNAcentral describes it as "lncRNA (ENSCJPG00005020054.1)". Lineage: Eukaryota; Metazoa; Chordata; Aves; Galliformes; Phasianidae. The record is from RNAcentral.